RNAcentral lists this ribosomal RNA (179 nucleotides) under Citrobacter europaeus. RNAcentral's name for it is "partial 16S ribosomal RNA". It matches the Rfam family "Bacterial small subunit ribosomal RNA", at positions 726 to 903 of the family's 1533-position model. Lineage: Bacteria; Pseudomonadati; Pseudomonadota; Gammaproteobacteria; Enterobacterales; Enterobacteriaceae. The record is from RNAcentral.
CCCUGGGACAAAGACUGACGCUCAGGUGCGAAAGCGUGGGGAGCAAACAGGAUUAGAUACCCUGGUAGUCCACGCCGUAAACGAUGUCGACUUGGAGGUUGUGCCCUUGAGGCGUGGCUUCCGGAGCUAACGCGUUAAGUCGACCGCCUGGGGAGUACGGCCGCAAGGAUUAAAACUCA